CUGACAUGUGAGGUUCCUGUAAGGAAGUUUACAAAAGCUCAGAUCCCUGGUCUCAAAAGUUUACCCAAUAUUCACCUGAGGGGAAAAAAACCAUAAAUGAGAUGCUUAGGAAGAUGAUGCCAAUAUUUAAUAAUCCAGCAAGGUGUGAUGGGCAGUGAGAAAGGUACUUCAG
Long non-coding RNA from Lemur catta (Ring-tailed lemur), 172 nucleotides. RefSeq lists it as uncharacterized. The record is from RefSeq and is a predicted model, not a curated record. Lineage: Eukaryota; Metazoa; Chordata; Mammalia; Primates; Lemuridae. The transcript has 3 exons.